GCCAACGACCAUACCACGUUGAAUCCACCAGUUCUCGUCCGAUCACUGAAGUUAAGCAACGUCGGGCGUAGUUAGUACUUGGAUGGGUGACCGCUUGGGAACACUACGUGCCGUUGGCUUUU
RNAcentral lists this ribosomal RNA (122 nucleotides) under Acyrthosiphon pisum (pea aphid). Lineage: Eukaryota; Metazoa; Arthropoda; Insecta; Hemiptera; Aphididae. The record is from RNAcentral.